This 872-nucleotide long non-coding RNA is filed under the name Capsella grandiflora. Its description in RNAcentral is "long non-coding RNA (CGRA_LNC001769)". Lineage: Eukaryota; Viridiplantae; Streptophyta; Magnoliopsida; Brassicales; Brassicaceae. The record is from RNAcentral.
GAAAUGUCCGCGUUGACAAAAUCAUUGUGCUGGGAACUUGUGACAAUCAACAAGGAUAAGCUCAAUGGUGUUGGUGCUGCAAUCUACCAGAAACCUGCCACAAAUGAAUGCUAUGAGAAAAGAAAGCACAACAAGCCUCCGAUGUGCAAAACCAACGACGAUGCAAAUGCUGCCUGGUAUGAUUGAUUUUACAAUAUGCAAACAUAACAAAAAGUUACAGUAAGGAUUGAAAAAUCUUAAAGCAAUUAUAGAACAAAGAAAAUCAGUACCUGAAUGCAAAUUUCAGGUAUGUGCCCCUGCAAGCAUGUAUGCACAAAGUGCCAACCAAUGCGGUCGAGAGAGGAAGCAAGUGGCCAGUGAACUGGCCCCGUAGGCUUCAAACACCUCCUUACUGGCUAAACAGCUCUCAAAUGGGGAUCUACGGGAAACCAGCUCCUCGAGAUUUCACUACAGAUUAUGAACAUUGGAAACAUGUUGUAAGCAAAGUAUACAUGAAUGAAAUAGGAAUCAGCUGGUCUAAUGUGAGGAAUGUAAUGGACAUGAGAGCUGUCUACGGAGGGUAAGCAUCAACGAAGAAAAUUAAAAAUGAUCAAACAAAAAUCUCAAUCACCAAAACUAAAGCUUUUGUUUUCUAACAAUGUAAAAAUGCAGAUUUGCAGCAGCUUUAAAGGACUUGCAGGUGUGGGUAAUGAAUGUAGUCAACAUAAAUUCACCAGAUACACUACCGAUAAUCUACGAAAGGGGACUAUUCGGAAUAUAUCAUGACUGGUGUGAGUCUUUUAGCACAUACCCAAGAAGCUACGAUCUCUUGCAUGCAGAUCAUCUUUUCUCCAAGUUAAGAAAAAGGUAAAAGCUUAAUACAUCAUAUCCAC